Molecule: ribosomal RNA, 254 nt
Filed under: uncultured bacterium
Lineage: Bacteria
Description: partial 16S ribosomal RNA
Rfam family: Bacterial small subunit ribosomal RNA
Source: RNAcentral
UACGUAGGGCGCAAGCGUUAUCCGGAUUUAUUGGGCGUAAAGAGCUCGUAGGCGGUUCGGUAAGUCGGGUGUGAAAACUCUGGGCUCAACCCAGAGAGGCCACCCGAUACUGCUGUGACUAGAGUGCGGUAGGGGAGCGGGGAAUUCCUGGUGUAGCGGUGAAAUGCGCAGAUAUCAGGAGGAACACCAGCGGCGAAGGCGCCGCUCUGGGCCGUAACUGACGCUGAGGAGCGAAAGCAUGGGUAGCAAACAGG